RNAcentral lists this unclassified non-coding RNA (760 nucleotides) under Zea mays. Its description in RNAcentral is "misc RNA Zm00001eb250260". The record is from RNAcentral. Lineage: Eukaryota; Viridiplantae; Streptophyta; Magnoliopsida; Poales; Poaceae.
GCCUCUUUGGAUUAGUAGCAAAUCAAGAAUGAUACUCAUUGCUCACCAUGCAAGUCUUCGGAUUAGGUGCAAACCUGUCUUUACCCUUUAUUGCAUCAUUGCAUGGAAUGCAGCAACCUUAUACUACUCCCAUGCCUUGUGCAGUGUACGCUAUAACAACCUGCUGUAAUGGAUUCAGUACACCCAUGGGUGCAUGCAUGGCAGGCUGCACAGGACUCGCUCACUAUGCGAGCACACAAGGUUCUCUUAUUGGGAACUCUUAUUGCAUCCUGUCUCCAGUGAAGGGCGACGAGGCCGACUUCAUCUCGGCUUCCAAGGAGUUCAUGUCAUCGGCACCGUCUUGGUGCCCCGCUCUCGCCACUGUCAUGCCUCUCAUGACACCAUCGCCGCCGACGCCAAGGAAGUCGCGCGUCAUCUCAGCGCCACCACGGCCCUGGCUAAACUUCACAUCUUGGUUCAUGUCAUACAUCCUCGGGUCAAUCAUGCUGCCGCUGUUGGCGCCGCCGAACAUGCCGCCGGCAGCCAGCGAGCUCAUCAAGCUCUGUAGGUGCAUCUGGCUCUGGUCGAGCAUGGGUGCCCGGGCGUGCCUAGCGGAGGGCGCCGACGAGCCCACGAGCCCCCCAAACACGGACACGCCGCCGUGCGCGCUCGCGCUGGAGCCCAUCUGGGACGCCUUCUGCAGAAGCGCCGUCGCGGACAUCUGCGGCAGCAUCACGGCCGGAUCAUUGUUGUACAUCCCGCCAGGAGCAACUUGGUGGUC